This 430-nucleotide unclassified non-coding RNA is filed under the name uncultured fungus. RNAcentral's name for it is "partial contains ITS1, 5.8S rRNA, ITS2 and 28S rRNA". It matches the Rfam family "Eukaryotic large subunit ribosomal RNA", at positions 668 to 961 of the family's 3401-position model. The record is from RNAcentral. Lineage: Eukaryota; Fungi.
AAGGAGUCGACCAACCGCGCGAGUGUUUGGGUGUCAAACUCGUGCGCGUAAUGAAAGUGAACGGAGGUGAGAGCCUUUGGGUGCAUCAUCGACCGAUCCUGAUGUCUUCGGAUGGAUUUGAGUAUGAGCACGGCUGGUCGGACCCGAAAGGUGAGCUCGGCUCCUCUUCCCCCGUGGCUUGGAUGCCGAUUUGGGAUCAAAUACUAACGUUUUUUUUUAGAUGGUGAACUAUGCGUGAAUAGGGUGAAGCCAGAGGAAACUCUGGUGGAGGCUCGCAGCGGUUCUGACGUGCAAAUCGAUCGUCAAAUUUGCGCAUAGGGGUGAGUCGAUCAAUUUCCCCGCCAACAUGUGUAUUUUAAUACGUAGAAUGACUUGCUAAUACAUAAUUUAGGCGAAAGACUAAUCGAACCAUCUAGUAGCUGGUUCCUGC